This 459-nucleotide long non-coding RNA is filed under the name Elaeis guineensis (African oil palm). RNAcentral's name for it is "long non-coding RNA (EGUI_LNC076870)". Lineage: Eukaryota; Viridiplantae; Streptophyta; Magnoliopsida; Arecales; Arecaceae. The record is from RNAcentral.
UGGCUCUGAUACCAACUAUUGGAGCAUGAUCCUGGCUCCUCCCAUGGACCUUGGGUGCAGCAGAACUAGCAACAAAUAAAUUUGGAGACUUCUGGACUCGAUCGAAGGCCCUUGACGAAAUCAGCCUGGUUGCUGGCUUUCAUUCCGGAUGAAGAAUGCCUCUGAAAUUACCUCUAAAAAAUCCAAGAUCUAGUACCCAACUAGAUCAGGCCUAGAUCGAGGUCUUUCAAUUCAUAGAUCUCAAAUCAAGGUAUUCUAGAUAGGGAAGAAGGUAGAUGGAGAUAGACCUUGCAGAUCUGUCCUGCUGCAGCCUUUCCUGUAGAUCUGUUGAUGGAGAUCUCACCCGUGCCUCAAACAAUCUCAGAUCAACUCCAGAUCUGAGAGAAACUUGUACCAACCUCUUCUCAAGAGAUUCUAGGUCCUGGACCUGAUAUUUGGGUGGCUGCAAGAGAGGGAGGA